UGCCCUGUGGUGUAACUGGCAACAUCCCUCGCUUUGAACGAGGAGAUUCCAGGUUCAAACCCUGGCAGGGCAGCCA
This 76-nucleotide transfer RNA is filed under the name Tolypothrix tenuis PCC 7101. Its description in RNAcentral is "tRNA-Gln". It matches the Rfam family "tRNA". Rfam says of the family: Transfer RNA (tRNA) molecules are approximately 80 nucleotides in length. The record is from RNAcentral. Lineage: Bacteria; Bacillati; Cyanobacteriota; Cyanophyceae; Nostocales; Tolypothrichaceae. RNAcentral also lists the same sequence under 9 other names.